CACUCCUACGGGAGGCAGCAGUGGGGAAUUUUGGACAAUGGGCGAAAGCCUGAUCCAGCCAUGCCGCGUGCAGGAUGAAGGCCUUCGGGUUGUAAACUGCUUUUGUACGGAACGAAACGGCCUUUUCUAAUAAAGAGGGCUAAUGACGGUACCGUAAGAAUAAGCACCGGCUAACUACGUGCCAGCAGCCGCGGUAAUACGUAGGGUGCAAGCGUUAAUCGGAAUUACUGGGCGUAAAGCGUGCGCAGGCGGUUAUGUAAGACAGUUGUGAAAUCCCCGGGCUCAACCUGGGAACUGCAUCUGUGACUGCAUAGCUAGAGUACGGUAGAGGGGGAUGGAAUUCCGCGUGUAGCAGUGAAAUGCGUAGAUAUGCGGAGGAACACCGAUGGCGAAGGCAAUCCCCUGGACCUGUACUGACGCUCAUGCACGAAAGCGUGGGGAGCAAACAGGAUUAGAAACCCCUGUAGUCCCAUGAU
RNAcentral lists this ribosomal RNA (476 nucleotides) under uncultured organism. RNAcentral's name for it is "partial 16S ribosomal RNA". It matches the Rfam family "Bacterial small subunit ribosomal RNA", at positions 334 to 801 of the family's 1533-position model. The record is from RNAcentral.